RNAcentral lists this long non-coding RNA (416 nucleotides) under Sorghum bicolor (sorghum). RNAcentral describes it as "long non-coding RNA (SBIC_LNC000028)". The record is from RNAcentral. Lineage: Eukaryota; Viridiplantae; Streptophyta; Magnoliopsida; Poales; Poaceae.
AUCAGUUUCCGAACCAACUGAAGCAUGAGUAGCAACCCUGCAAGGAAGCAUCAGUUUCUGAACCAACUGAAGCAUGAGCAACCCUGCAAGGAAGCAGCAGAACAGUGAAUUCAACAAGGUCAUAUAAUGUUUCUUUCAACAUAUUAUAGUGUUUCAUUCAACAUACUCAAAUUCUAAAAGCAGUUGCCAAUGUACAAUGUAUUGUAGUUUACAGUACGAACCAAACAAAUGCCGCAUUUCAGUUGUGGAAUACAGUACAAUGAAUUGUAGUGAGUUGGAACUAAACAGCACAACAAAAAGCGAUGGGUAGUCAAUACUAGUAUAGCUACAAUAGCACUAAACUUUAUUGCUAACAAAAGGUAACAAUGCUAUUAGUAAACUUAAUACUGCUGUGUUUCAGCUUAUAAACUGAAGUC